CUACGGGUUGCACCAGUGAGGAAUAUUGCACAAUGGGGGGAACCCUGAUGCAGCAACGCCGCGUGGAGGAUGACGCAUUUCGGUGUGUAAACUCCUUUUAUAUGUCAAGAAAAUGACGGUAGCAUAUGAAUAAGCACCGGCUAACUCCGUGCCAGCAGCCGCGGUAGUACGGAGGGUGCAAGCGUUACUUGGAAUCACUGGGCGUAAAGGACGCGUAGGCGGGUUGGAAAGUCAGGUGUGAAAUCCUACAGCUUAACUGUAGAACUGCACUUGAAACUUCUAAUCUAGAGUAUGGGAGGGGGAGAUGGAAUUAGUGGUGUAGGGGUAAAAUCCGUAGAUAUCACUAGGAAUACCUAAAGCGAAGGCGAUCUCCUGGAACAUUACUGACGCUAAGGCGUGAAAGCGUGGGGAGCAAACAGGAUUAGAUACCCCCGUAGUC
Molecule: ribosomal RNA, 439 nt
Filed under: uncultured bacterium
Lineage: Bacteria
Description: partial 16S ribosomal RNA
Rfam family: Bacterial small subunit ribosomal RNA
Source: RNAcentral